GGGGGAUAUUGCACAAGGGAGGAAACUCUGAUGCAGCGACGCCGCGUGAGGGAAGAAGGUCUUCGGAUUGUAAACCUCUGUCUUUGGGGACGAAGAAAGUGACGGUACCCAAAGAGGAAGCCACGGCUAACUACGUGCCAGCAGCCGCGGUAAUACGUAGGUGGCGAGCGUUGUCCGGAAUUACUGGGUGUAAAGGGUGCGUAGGCGGACUGGCAAGUUGGAUGUGAAAUCUCCGCGCUUAACGUGGAGGUUGCAUUCAAAACUGUUGGUCGUGAGUGAGGCAGAGGCAGGCGGAAUUCCCGGUGUAGCGGUGAAAUGCGUAGAGAUCGGGAGGAACACCAGUGGCGAAGGCGGCCUGCUAGGCCUUAACUGACGCUGAGGCACGAAAGCAUGGGUAGCAAACA
This 404-nucleotide ribosomal RNA is filed under the name uncultured bacterium. Its description in RNAcentral is "bacterial SSU rRNA". It matches the Rfam family "Bacterial small subunit ribosomal RNA", at positions 356 to 774 of the family's 1533-position model. The record is from RNAcentral.